This 492-nucleotide ribosomal RNA is filed under the name uncultured bacterium. RNAcentral's name for it is "partial 16S ribosomal RNA". It matches the Rfam family "Bacterial small subunit ribosomal RNA", at positions 29 to 507 of the family's 1533-position model. The record is from RNAcentral.
AGUGAACGCUGGCGGUAGGCCUAACACAUGCAAGUCGAACGGCAGCACAGUAAGAGCUUGCUCUUACGGGUGGCGAGUGGCGGACGGGUGAGGAAUACAUCGGAAUCUACUUUUUCGUGGGGGAUAACGUAGGGAAACUUACGCUAAUACCGCAUACGACCUACGGGUGAAAGCAGGGGAUCUUCGGACCUUGCGCGAUUGAAUGAGCCGAUGUCGGAUUAGCUAGUUGGCGGGGUAAAGGCCCACCAAGGCGACGAUCCGUAGCUGGUCUGAGAGGAUGAUCCGCCCCACUGGAACUGAGACACGGUCCAGACUCCUACGGGAGGCAGCAGUGGGGAAUAUUGGACCAUGGGCGCAAGCCUGGUCCAGCCAUACCGCGUGGGUGAAGAAGGCCUUCGGGUUGUAAAGCCCUUUUGUUGGGAAAGAAAAGCAGCAGGUUAAUACCCCGCUGUUCUGACGGUACCCAAAGAAUAAGCACCGGCUAACUUCGUG